Non-coding RNA from Cherax quadricarinatus, 573 nucleotides. NCBI's taxonomy places the organism in Eukaryota, Metazoa, Arthropoda, Malacostraca, Decapoda, Parastacidae. The record is from RefSeq and is a predicted model, not a curated record.
CCAGACGCGCUGGUGGUUGCAGGUAGCAGCCGCUCGCUCGUUUCUUACCUGUCCAGUGUGUGGGGCUGGACUCCUGGUGUGACGUCAUUCACUACCAUCAACGAAGACAACAACAACAACAACAACAACAACAACAACAAACAACAACAGCUACAUCAACAUGAACAGUGGCAAGAGAUUCGAAAACAAUAAUAAGAAACAAUAAAGAGAUAGAAAUUGAAGACAAGAAUUAGAAAACGAGGAAGGGAGGACAAUAAGCAGAGGACACGUUACUGAGGCUGAAGACUGACUAUACAUUGACCUGACGUAAUAACUGAUAACUGCCUCACCUUCUUCAGUUAUUGUUAUUGUUAUAUUUAUCCCGAAAGCGUUAAAUCCGUGUGACAUUAUUCAGCGUCGGAGGCCCCCUCCUCAGACAUGGCUCCGCGCGUCCUGAUCCUUGCUGUGACCCUGACUUCCGUCUCCAGGAGCGUGGGCGGCGGCGUGGGCGUGAGUCCAGAACUACGCAAAGUAGACCAUCUCCUCAACCCCGCCCGCUAUGACAGGCGUCAGACUCCAGUCCCUCACACAGGU